This 1333-nucleotide ribosomal RNA is filed under the name uncultured bacterium. RNAcentral describes it as "bacterial SSU rRNA". It matches the Rfam family "Bacterial small subunit ribosomal RNA", at positions 28 to 1381 of the family's 1533-position model. The record is from RNAcentral.
GACGAACGCUGGCGGCGCGCCUAACACAUGCAAGUCGAACGAGUGAGAAAAAGCUUGCUUUCUCGAGCGAGUGGCGAACGGGUGAGUAACGCGUGAGGAACCUGCCUCAAAGAGGGGGACAACAGUUGGAAACGACUGCUAAUACCGCAUAAGCCCACAGGUCGGCAUCGACAAGAGGGAAAAGGAGCAAUCCGCUUUGAGAUGGCCUCGCGUCCGAUUAGCUAGUUGGUGAGGUAAUGGCCCACCAAGGCAACGAUCGGUAGCCGGACUGAGAGGUUGAACGGCCACAUUGGGACUGAGACACGGCCCAGACUCCUACGGGAGGCAGCAGUGGGGAAUAUUGCACAAUGGGGGAAACCCUGAUGCAGCGACGCCGCGUGGAGGAAGAAGGUCUUCGGAUUGUAAACUCCUGUUGUUGAGGAAGAUAAUGACGGUACUCAACAAGGAAGUGACGGCUAACUACGUGCCAGCAGCCGCGGUAAAACGUAGGUCACAAGCGUUGUCCGGAAUUACUGGGUGUAAAGGGAGCGCAGGCGGGAAGACAAGUUGGAAGUGAAAUCUAUGGGCUCAACCCAUAAACUGCUUUCAAAACUGUUUUUCUUGAGUAGUGCAGAGGUAGGCGGAAUUCCCGGUGUAGCGGUGGAAUGCGUAGAUAUCGGGAGGAACACCAGUGGCGAAGGCGGCCUACUGGGCACCAACUGACGCUGAGGCUCGAAAGUGUGGGUAGCAAACAGGAUUAGAUACCCUGGUAGUCCACACCGUAAACGAUGAUUACUAGGUGUUGGAGGAUUGACCCCUUCAGUGCCGCAGUUAACACAAUAAGUAAUCCACCUGGGGAGUACGACCGCAAGGUUGAAACUCAAAGGAAUUGACGGGGGCCCGCACAAGCAGUGGAGUAUGUGGUUUAAUUCGACGCAACGCGAAGAACCUUACCAAGUCUUGACAUCCUGCGACGAUGCUGGAAACAGUAUUUUCCUUCGGGACGCAGAGACAGGUGGUGCAUGGUUGUCGUCAGCUCGUGUCGUGAGAUGUUGGGUUAAGUCCCGCAACGAGCGCAACCCUUACUGUCAGUUACUACGCAAGAGGACUCUGGCAGGACUGCCGUUGACAAAACGGAGGAAGGUGGGGAUGACGUCAUAAUCAUCAUGCCCUUUAUGACUUGGGCUACACACGUACUACAAUGGCGUUAAACAAAGAGAAGCAAGACCGCGAGGUGGAGCAAAACUCAGAAACAACGUCCCAGUUCGGACUGCAGGCUGCAACUCGCCUGCACGAAGUCGGAAUUGCUAGUAAUCGUGGAUCAGCAUGCCACGGUGAAUACGUUCCCGGGCCU